This 111-nucleotide ribosomal RNA is filed under the name uncultured bacterium. RNAcentral describes it as "partial 16S ribosomal RNA". It matches the Rfam family "Bacterial small subunit ribosomal RNA", at positions 1365 to 1484 of the family's 1533-position model. The record is from RNAcentral.
AAUACGUUCCCGGACCUUGCACACACCGCCCGUCAAGCCAUGGAAGCUGGGUGUACCUAAAGUCGGUAACCGCAAGGAGCCGCCUAGGGUAAAACUAGUGACUGGGGCUUA